UCCAUAACCUAAAUAUAUACCGGAUAAUACAAAUUAAAUUUAAAACCCAAAGAACUUGGCGGUGUCUCAUACAAUCAGGGGAACCUGUCCCUUAAAUCGAUAAUCCACGAAUGUCCUAGUCUAGCUAGAACAACCAGCCUGUGUACUGCCGUCGGCAGCAUACCUUAAAAAGAAAGUAUGCGAUAAUAAUUCUAAAGACGUCAGGUCAAAGUGCAGCCAAUGCUAAUCUGGAGAUGGGUUACAUCUUGCACCAAAACUGAAACCCAUUAAAAAAUGGGAAAAAAGCUGGACUUGAUUGUAAUGACUUAAACUAUAAUGUCAUGAACAUGUUCCUGAGACAUGUACACAUCGCCCGUCACUCUCGUCGAAAGAUG
Molecule: ribosomal RNA, 374 nt
Filed under: Tubifex tubifex (sludge worm)
Lineage: Eukaryota; Metazoa; Annelida; Clitellata; Tubificida; Naididae
Description: partial 12S ribosomal RNA
Rfam family: Bacterial small subunit ribosomal RNA
Source: RNAcentral